Molecule: ribosomal RNA, 2652 nt
Filed under: human gut metagenome
Description: bacterial LSU rRNA
Rfam family: Bacterial large subunit ribosomal RNA (bases 13-1991)
Source: RNAcentral
UCAAGCUAUAAAGAGCAUAGGGUGGAUGCCUUGGCACCAAGAGCCGAAGAAGGACGUGGUCAGCUGCGAUAAGCCAUGGUCAGCCGCAAGCAGGCAAUGACCCAUGGAUUUCCGAAUGCGGAAACGCGGCACGUUAACAGCGUGUCAUCAUGUCAUGAAUAAAUAGUGACAUGAGGGGAACCCGGUGAACUGAAACAUCUAAGUAGCCGGAGGAAGAGAAAGAAACAUCGAUUUCCUUAGUAGCGGCGAGCGAAAGGGAAAGAGCCCAAACCGAGGGUCUACGGACGUUCGGGGUUCGGACUUGCAAAAAUCGAAGUACUUAUAGACGAAGAGGUUUGGAACUUCCUACCAAAGAGGGUAACAGUCCCGUAGUCGAAAUGAGUACAAGAGGGCGAGAAUCCAGAGUACCACAGGACACGAGUAAUCCGGUGGGAAGACGGGGGGCCCACCCCCCAAGGCUAAAUACUACUUGGUGACCGAUAGCGUAUAGUACCGUGAGGGAAAGGUGAAAAGAACCCCGGGAGGGGAGUGAAAGAGUACCUGAAACCCUAUGUUUACAAGCAGUGGGAGCGAGAGCGACCAUGUACUUUUUGUAGAACGGGCCGGCGAGUUACUGUGUGCAGCGAGGUUAAGUUGUUAAGCAACGGAGCCGAAGGGAUACCGAGUCUGAAAAGGGCGUAAAGUUGCAUGCAGUACACCCGAAACCGGGUGACCUAUCCAUGGACAGGAUGAAGCGACGGUAAGACGUCGUGGAGGUCCGAACCACACGUACGUGAAAAGUGCGGGGAUGAGCUGUGGAUAGCGGAGAAAUUCCAAUCGAACUCGGAGAUAGCUGGUUCUCCCCGAAAUAGCUUUAGGGCUAGCCUCGAUUUAGAUUACCGGGGGUAGAGCACUGAAUGGGCUAGGGGGCCACAAAGCUUACCGAACCCUAUCAAACUUCGAAUACCGGAUAAUUGAUGAUCGGGAGUCAGACAGUGUGAGAUAAGUUUCAUUGUCGAAAGGGAAACAGCCCAGAUCUACGACUAAGGUCCCAAAGUUCAAGUUAAGUGGAAAAGGAUGUGCAAUUGCGCAGACAACCAGGAUGUUGGCUUAGUAGCAGCCAUUCAUUCAAAGAGUGCGUAAUAGCUCACUGGUCGAGUGAUUGUGCGCCGAAAAUGUAACGGGGCUAAACUUGACACCGAAGUCUAGGCAGAAGGAAACUUCUGGGUAGGGGAGCAACGUGUACGGGCAGAAGCAGAAGCGGAAGCGACUGUGGACUGUACAGGAGAGAGAAUGCCGGCAUGAGUAGCGAGAGCAAAGUGAGAAUCUUUGCCGUCGAAAGCCUAAGGUUUCCUGAGGAAGGCUCGUCCUCUCAGGGUAAGUCGGGACCUAAGCCGAGGACAAUAGUCGUAGGCGAUGGACAAUCGGUUAAUAUUCCGAUACCGCCGAGCAACCGGAUGCAGUGACACAGAAGGAUAGGCAGAGCGUGGCGAUGGUAGACCACGUCCAAGCAGUGAGGCUGUUGUGUAGUGAAGUACGCACAACGGAAGGCUGGGCUGUGAUGGGGAACGAUUACGAUCGGUAAGCUGCUGAAUUCACGCUGGCGAGAAAAGCUGCUACGAAGCGAAGGCGCCCGUACCGCAAACCGACACAGGUAGGCGAGGAGAGAAUCCUAAGACGAGCGGGAGAACCCUUGUUAAGGAACUCGGCAAAAUGACUCCGUAACUUAGGGAGAAGGAGUGCCCAGGAAUGGGCCGCAGAGAAUAGACCCAAGCGACUGUUUACCAAAAACACAGGUCUGUGCGAAGUAGAGAUACGACGUAUACGGGCUGACACCUGCCCAGUGCCGGAAGGUUAAGGGGAAAUGUUAGGGCAACCGAAGCAUGGAACUUAAGCCCCGGUGAACGGCGGCCGUAACUAUAACGGUCCUAAGGUAGCGAAAUUCCUUGUCGGGUAAGUUCCGACCCGCUUGUUCCGAAUAUGUGGAAAGUAAAAAAUGCAACUGUUCAUUGGCAUUCAGAAGCGGGAAUUACCAUGAGACAGAUGUAUUCGUCAUUACAUGACAUUUUAGAAGAUACAAUAGGAGGAAAUUUGGAUAUCAUAGGGAAAAGUGAUAUUGGAGAUACUUAUAAUUCCGUACUUUCUGUACUUCAAUUAGGACUUUUGGUAACAUCAUUUUUAUUGUUAUUUGUUUCUGUAUUAGGACAAAUUAACAUAGGGUUAUCAUCCUUGGAACAACGUACUCACGAAUUACUAAUUAGACGGGCGAUUGGCGCUUCUCGUGCGAAUAUUGUUACUUUAGUGUUAGGCGCACAAUUAACUAUAUCAGUGUUUGUUUGUAUUGUUUCAAUCCUGAUAUCCUUUUUCUUGGUUCAAGGCAUGGGGUUAUUUCUGCCUGUGGAUUCUCCCGUAGCGGCACUGGAAUAUCCUAUUCUUUCGGCAGUGGUAGCUGUUAUAACAUCCGUUGUUGUAGCGUUGCUUGGAGGACUAUUGCCAGCGUUAAAAGCUGCAAAGCUUGAACCUGCAUUGGCGCUUAGAUAAAAUAAAUUUUAUAAAAUUGGAGGAAAAACAUGAAAAUAUUAUCUAUGAAAACAACGAUUUUUUUAGGAGCAAUGCUUUCUUUAUUGGUAUGUCUGAUGUUUACAGGUUGUUCAAAUUCUGAAACAAAUUCUA